GUUGGGUUAAGUCCCGCAACGAGCGCAACCCUUGUGCAUUAGUUGCUACGAAAGGGCACUCUAAUGAGCACUGCCGGUGACAAACCGGAGGAAGGUGGGGAUGACGUCAAGUCCUCAUGGCCCUUAUAGGUGGGGCUACACACGUCAUACAAUGGCCGGUACAAAGGGCAGCCAACCCGCGAGGGGGAGCCAAUCCCAUAAAGCCGGUCGUAGUCCGGAUCGCAGUCUGCAACUCGACUGCGUGAAGUCGGAAUCGCUAGUAAUCGUGGAUCAGAAUGUCACGGUGAAUACGUUCCCGGGUCUU
RNAcentral lists this ribosomal RNA (304 nucleotides) under uncultured beta proteobacterium. RNAcentral's name for it is "bacterial SSU rRNA". It matches the Rfam family "Bacterial small subunit ribosomal RNA", at positions 1074 to 1382 of the family's 1533-position model. Lineage: Bacteria; Pseudomonadati; Pseudomonadota; Betaproteobacteria. The record is from RNAcentral.